This 172-nucleotide unclassified non-coding RNA is filed under the name Glomeromycotina sp. Its description in RNAcentral is "partial contains small subunit ribosomal RNA, internal transcribed spacer 1, and 5.8S ribosomal RNA". The stretch from base 1 to 47 matches the Rfam family "Eukaryotic small subunit ribosomal RNA", at positions 1785 to 1831 of the family's 1831-position model. The record is from RNAcentral. Lineage: Eukaryota; Fungi; Glomeromycota.
AAAGUCGUAACAAGGUUUCCGUAGGUGAACCUGCGGAAGGAUCAUUAUAAAAUUUUCAUAUUAUUUAAUAUGUAAAACAAUAAUUAUAUUCAAAACCCACACACUUAAAAACCAUUAUAAAAAAUAUUAUAAUAAUUAAAAACAACUUUCAACAACGGAUCUCUUGGCUCUC